AGUUUGAUCUUGGCUCAGGAUGAACGCUGGCGGCGUGCCUAAUACAUGCAAGUCGAGCGAACAGACGAGGAGCUUGCUCCUCUGACGUUAGCGGCGGACGGGUGAGUAACACGUGGAUAACCUACCUAUAAGACUGGGAUAACUUCGGGAAACCGGAGCUAAUACCGGAUAAUAUAUUGAACCGCAUGGUUCAAUAGUGAAAGACGGUUUUGCUGUCACUUAUAGAUGGAUCCGCGCCGCAUUAGCUAGUUGGUAAGGUAACGGCUUACCAAGGCAACGAUGCGUAGCCGACCUGAGAGGGUGAUCGGCCACACUGGAACUGAGACACGGUCCAGACUCCUACGGGAGGCAGCAGUAGGGAAUCUUCCGCAAUGGGCGAAAGCCUGACGGAGCAACGCCGCGUGAGUGAUGAAGGUCUUCGGAUCGUAAAACUCUGUUAUUAGGGAAGAACAAAUGUGUAAGUAACUAUGCACGUCUUGACGGUACCUAAUCAGAAAGCCACGGCUAACUACGUGCCAGCAG
This 522-nucleotide ribosomal RNA is filed under the name uncultured microorganism. RNAcentral's name for it is "bacterial SSU rRNA". It matches the Rfam family "Bacterial small subunit ribosomal RNA", at positions 10 to 514 of the family's 1533-position model. The record is from RNAcentral.